RNAcentral lists this ribosomal RNA (402 nucleotides) under uncultured prokaryote. RNAcentral describes it as "bacterial SSU rRNA". It matches the Rfam family "Bacterial small subunit ribosomal RNA", at positions 355 to 774 of the family's 1533-position model. The record is from RNAcentral.
UAGGGAAUAUUAGAAAUGGACGAAAGUCUGAUCUAGCAACACCGCGUGUGCGAAGAAGGCCUUCGGGUUGUAAAGCACUUUUUGGAAGGAUUAGGAAGGAAUGUACUUCCAGAAUAAGUCUCGGCUAACUACGUGCCAGCAGCCGCGGUAACACGUAGGAGGCAAACGUUAUCCGGAUUUACUGGGCGUAAAGCGCGUGUAGGUGGUUCUGUAAGUAGGGCGUGAAAGCUCCUGGCUCAACUGGGAGAGGCCGUUCUAAACUGCAGAGCUAGAGGAUGGUAGAGGGAGGUGGAAUUCCGGGUGUAGCGGUGGAAUGCGCAGAUAUCCGGAGGAACACCAGUGGCGAAAGCGGCCUCCUGGACCAUUCCUGACACUCAGACGCGAAAGCUAGGGUAGCAAACG